RNAcentral lists this ribosomal RNA (465 nucleotides) under Vreelandella stevensii. RNAcentral describes it as "partial 16S ribosomal RNA". It matches the Rfam family "Bacterial small subunit ribosomal RNA", at positions 338 to 795 of the family's 1533-position model. Lineage: Bacteria; Pseudomonadati; Pseudomonadota; Gammaproteobacteria; Oceanospirillales; Halomonadaceae. The record is from RNAcentral.
CCUACGGGAGGCUGCAGUGGGGAAUAUUGGACAAUGGGCGAAAGCCUGAUCCAGCCAUGCCGCGUGUGUGAAGAAGGCCUUCGGGUUGUAAAGCACUUUCAGUGGGGAAGAAAGCCUUGGGGCUAAUACCCUCGAGGAAGGACAUCACCCACAGAAGAAGCACCGGCUAACUCCGUGCCAGCAGCCGCGGUAAUACGGAGGGUGCGAGCGUUAAUCGGAAUUACUGGGCGUAAAGCGCGCGUAGGCGGUCUGAUAAGCCGGUUGUGAAAGCCCCGGGCCCAACCUGGGAACGGCAUCCGGAACUGUCAGGCUAGAGUGCAGGAGAGGAAGGUAGAAUUCCCGGUGUAGCGGUGAAAUGCGUAGAGAUCGGGAGGAAUACCAGUGGCGAAGGCGGCCUUCUGGACUGACACUGACGCUGAGGUGCGAAAGCGUGGGUAGCAAACAGGAUUAGAUACCCGUGUAGUC